GACGAACGCUGGCGGCGUGCUUAACACAUGUAAGUCGAGCGGUAAGGCCCUUUCGGGGGUACACGAGCGGCGAACGGGUGAGUAACACGUGGGUGACCUGCCCUCAGCUCUGGGAUAAGCCUGGGAAACCGGGUCUAAUACUGGAUAUGACUCCAUGACGCAUGUUGUGGGGUGGAAAGCCUUGUGCGGCUGAGGAUGGGCCCGCGGCCUAUCAGCUUGUUGGUGGGGUGAUGGCCACCAAGGCGACGACGGGUAGCCGGCCUGAGAGGGCGACCGGCCACACUGGGACUGAGACACGGCCCAGACUCCUACGGGAGGCAGCAGUGGGGAAUCUUGCGCAAUGGGCGAAAGCCUGACGCAGCGACGCCGCGUGAGGGAUGACGGCCU
This 387-nucleotide ribosomal RNA is filed under the name uncultured bacterium. RNAcentral describes it as "bacterial SSU rRNA". It matches the Rfam family "Bacterial small subunit ribosomal RNA", at positions 28 to 417 of the family's 1533-position model. The record is from RNAcentral.